Molecule: ribosomal RNA, 354 nt
Filed under: Symphurus orientalis (pygmy tongue-sole)
Lineage: Eukaryota; Metazoa; Chordata; Actinopteri; Pleuronectiformes; Cynoglossidae
Description: partial 12S ribosomal RNA
Rfam family: Bacterial small subunit ribosomal RNA
Source: RNAcentral
AAACAAUGAUAUUUUCAUACAUUAAUAUCCGCCUGGUUACUACGAACAUUAGUUUGAAAACCAAAGGACUUGGCGGUGCUUUAAGCCCUUCUAGAGGAGCCUGUCCUGUAAUCGACAACCCCCGUUUAACCUCACCCUUUCUGGCCCCAUCCGCUUAUAUACCACCGUCGAAAGUUUACCCUGUGAAGGCACAAUAGUGAGCACAAUUGGUGAAAACCCAGAACGUCAGGUCAAGGUGUCGCGAAUGAAAGGGGAAGAGAUGGGCUACACUUGUUAUUUUAACAUAUACGGAAAUUACGCUGAAACAACGUAAUUGAAGGUGGAUUUAGUAGUAAGCUGGAAAUAGAGAGUCUA